UGCGUAGGCGGGCUUGUGCGUCAGGGGUUAAAUCCCACGGCAUAACCGUGGAGCUGCCUUUGAUACGGCAAGUCUUGAGUGUGAGAGAGGAUGGUAGAAUUCCUGGUGUAGCGGUGAAAUGCGUAGAUAUCAGGAGGAAUACCAGUGGCGAAGGCGGCCAUCUGGCUCACUACUGACGCUGAGGCACGAAAGCGUGGGGAGCGAACAGGAUUAGAUACCCUGGUAGUCC
Molecule: ribosomal RNA, 229 nt
Filed under: uncultured bacterium
Lineage: Bacteria
Description: partial 16S ribosomal RNA
Rfam family: Bacterial small subunit ribosomal RNA
Source: RNAcentral